ACAGCAGCACAAAGAUUCCCAGACAGUGACUUCAUUGCCAAGGAAAUAAAGAUCCCAAUUCCUGGUUCCCACUCGUACAACCUCAACCUCUUCAGAUUGGUAUUUAGGACUAUUUUUGUGAUCAUUACCACUGUAAUUUCCAUGCUGCUUCCCUUCUUUAACGACGUAGUUGGACUCCUUGGAGCUUUAGGAUUUUGGCCAUUAACUGUGUAUUUCCCAGUCGAGAUGUACAUAGCACAAAAGAAGAUACC
Molecule: unclassified non-coding RNA, 251 nt
Filed under: Hevea brasiliensis (rubber tree)
Lineage: Eukaryota; Viridiplantae; Streptophyta; Magnoliopsida; Malpighiales; Euphorbiaceae
Source: RNAcentral